This 1052-nucleotide long non-coding RNA is filed under the name Marmota monax (woodchuck). The record is from RNAcentral. Lineage: Eukaryota; Metazoa; Chordata; Mammalia; Rodentia; Sciuridae.
AUAGGUACCUAGUUUCUUCUUCAACAGAAAGAAAUCAUAGCAAAACACUUUUGAAAAUCCUCAAGAAUUGACUUAUCUUGCAUAACAAGUGGCACCUAAACCUAGAAUUGACAUACAGUUUUUCCCAGUGCUAGCAAGAGUAUUCGACUUUACAUCUAUGUGAUUAACAAGAACUAGAAUUAACAGCAGAUGAGCCACAAGAAUGAAAGAGAAGGAUAAUGUCAAUCACUUUUUCAAAUUAAACAAUGAGGUUAUUAUAUGAUCAGUGUCACUCAGUCAAGCACCUAUCCUGCAUAGUAAACCAUGCUUAGGACCAUAAAAGUAACAUUCUUAAGACUCAAGUGUAUCCAGCUUAUAGACUGGUUGAGGGCAAAAAGUGUAUUUUACUCACUUUAAGAUGCCUCUAACACUUAACUGGCACAUGGAAGUUUCUAGCCAUUAAAAGAAUUAAACUCACCCCUUUAGAAUAUUCUUAUUUCACCAAUUAAUUAUUUCUAGUUAUAAGAAUAAUGAAAACCCUGUUAUUUAAAUAUCAAGUGGGUGAAGAAAAGCUUAUUUCAGGUGGAUAUCUGAUUUGAACCUUAGUUACUUACUAGCUAUGUGACUAGAUAAGUAAUUUAACCUCUCUCUGUAACUGUUACCUCAUUCAUAAAAUGGAGUUAAUACUCAAAGGGCUUAGAAAGUGUUCGAUAUAUAGUAAUGGUUAUGGUUAUGACUUAAUUAUUAUCAGUAGCAGAUAUAUGCAAAGUAAGCCUUUUAAAAUGUCAAAACCCAAUAGGUCAUUUACAAAUGUAGUGGUUAAGAGAACACUAGGGAACCAAAUGACCUGGAUUCUGACUCCAACUCUGCCACAUAUGAAAUUAGGUGUUCUCCCCUCUUAGCAUCUGUACCCUUGUUUUCUGAUUCAAAAUAGAGAUACAAUUGCACCUACUUCCUACACUUGUUUUAAAUUAGUUAAUACAAGUUAUUAUUUCAAAUAGUUACAACACACUGAUAACUAUGAAAACAUGAGUUUUCUUUUAGGUUUGGUUCAUGUUCGAUUUUGGGUAAAG